GCGCUGGGCACUUGGAAGACUUGGAGGAAAUUCAUGCUCGGCGAGACGCAGCCUGCGCGAGCUGAGCGGCGCCGCUGGGGAAUCGCGCUCCGGCCGCCGUCGGCGGGACGUCUCGGAUAGUCUGCAGCGGGACGCGCUUGCCCGGCCUGGCUUUGGCCAGGGAGCAGCCCUCUGGCCCCGGGGUUACACCAGCAGAGCAGCGUUGGCUUAACCUCCCUUUCAGCACUAGGGUGUAAGAUGGUAAUACAUGACUGUACCGACACCUACGAUGGAUAAUGGUAAACACUAAUGUGUAAUUCAGCUAAUGUACUUCACCAUAGGAAUCGAUGGAUAUAUGAAAAUGUAUACUUUGAACAACAUGAUACAUAGCAACAGAGUCAUUGCGUCGUUGAGGAUUUGGGAGAUUGUGGCAUAUGCUAUAAUAAUAGUUACAGUGUCCCCCGUCAUCUGCAGGCGAUCCGGUUCCCCUUCACCGUUGAUCUCGUUCCCGGACACUCUGAACAAGAUGUCUGAGAUAGUCUCUCGCGCGAAAUUCUGUUCCCGGCUCCCCGUCGCGCGAAAUUCUGUUCCCGGCUCCCCCAAAAGCAACACAAUACACACCAUAUGCUACAACAAAGGAAAUUUUAUUUAAAAAUAAAACUUUGUUUUGUUUUGUUUCUUUUAUUGAC
This 668-nucleotide long non-coding RNA is filed under the name Dromaius novaehollandiae (emu). Its description in RNAcentral is "lncRNA (ENSDNVG00000010978.1)". The record is from RNAcentral. Lineage: Eukaryota; Metazoa; Chordata; Aves; Casuariiformes; Dromaiidae.